Parus major (Great Tit) is the source of this 1990-nucleotide long non-coding RNA. RefSeq lists it as uncharacterized. The record is from RefSeq and is a predicted model, not a curated record. The transcript is spliced from 6 exons. NCBI's taxonomy places the organism in Eukaryota, Metazoa, Chordata, Aves, Passeriformes, Paridae.
GCUGCAGAGCCCAAAUGCUGUGUGCGGCCUCCCCUGGGCCCUGUGCGGCAGCUCCUGGGCUCUCCUGGCCUGAGGAGCCCGGGGCUGGAGGCAGCGCUGCAGAGGAGCCUCAGCUGGCCGGGGCAGAGGGGCAGCAUCCCCUCCCUCACCUCUGCCCGCUCUCUGCCCCAGGCUCCCCGGGUUCUCCUCUUCAUUCCAUUCUAAAAAUCUUCAUCAAUUGGAAGCUAUAAAGUUAUAUAAAUAUUAGUGAUGUGGAUUCAUUUCCACGGUCAUCAACAUUUGAAUGAGAACAAUACCCAUUUUCCAAGAAGCUGCAGUGUAUUUCAGGUCUUUUAUCCUCUGCCGAAACUUUUAAUCAACUUCAAUCCACGAAGAAUUAAUCAAUUUACAUCCAGGAAGAAUUUUGAAUACUUUGCAGCUGAACAGAAAGAGGCAUCAACUCAGACUUUACCAAAAGAUAUAAAAAUUGAAAAACACUGACAAGCAGAAAACACUUUCUUCCAGGGACAGAGCAAGUUAAAAAUCUUCCUCAAUUAAUAAAUUUGGUUAUUUUGUUUCUAUUCCAGUAUUAUUGGAAAUACUGUUCAUCAUGAGACCUGUGUGGGAAGGAAUCUAUCCCCAGUGUGGCCACACUCCUCUUUACUAAUCUGUCCUGACUACAUGCUCAAACAGUUGAAGGAGAGAACAAAAAAAUGCUGAAAAUUUACAUCAAAAGUGAAAGCCACAGACACAGCAGCUUCACUGCUGUCCUACUCUUUCUAAGGUAAAUUACUUCUUUCUGCAGUUUAUAAAGGGGAUGUAGAGAGGCAGAGUCUGUACUACUGCAACAAAGAUCUCAAGUACCUUGGAAAUAUUUUUACCUUUCAAAAACUCUGGCCUUGGAAAUAUUAAAAUUCACACAUAGACCAAAUACACAUAAAUAAAACCAUGUACCAAAACAUGUUUUACACCCAUAAGCUCCUUGGUUUCAAAGCCUUCUGUUUUUCCUGUAUUAAAUAUAAUGUAUUAAUAAGAAAUGCUGUGAUCUCUGUUAUGUCUUUAUGUCUGUUAUUGUUCAUUCUUUAAGUAUAAGUAUGUGGUACAUUGUAAAAAAAUGUCUGACCAGUCUAUUCUCCACACUGUUUACCCAGUCUGAGCGUAUUAAACCACAUGGAAUGUUACAUUUCACUUCCACAUGUAUAAACCCCAUGACUGUGUUCCAGAAGCUUCCAAAUACCAGUCCUCUGUAGAUCAAGAGAAAAAAGAAAAAACAACAAAAAAAGCAAUUUAGUGAAGCUCAGGAAUCCACACAAAUGCUAAUACAAAUGCAAGGUUUUAAAAAAGAAUGUGCUACACUGAUUAUUUUAUGCUUAUUUUCCUGUUUUUCAUUAAACUUCCUUCAGCUGUUAAAAAAUAGUGUUCUAAUUUAAAGCUGUUAGAUUCCAGUUUAAAUGUUAUUUCCACAUAUAUUGUAAAACACUGUCACCACUCACUGGUUUGUUGUGGACUUCUUGUAGCCAUGAAGAAAUAAAAGGUGCAAGGGAUUUUUUUUUCCCCCAAUACAUUAUGGCAAGCACUGAAAGCAGUAAAUGCUUUCUGACAUCUGAAAGCCUUCCUAACACAUCAUUGAACUCAGCAAGACCCUUUAUAGCACAAGAAGUAUGCCCAGGAUUAGGUUUAAAGUGGGAACUCAUUCUACAGAGCUCUUUAACACUGUUUGUGGCUGUUUUGUCAGUGAUACUCCAUGGGCAUUUCAAUUGUUUAAUGUUUGCUUGCUGACAUGACCCAUGGCUGGAUCAGGAAGACAAGGAAGAGAAGAAAUGCUAUCAGAAAGGGGGGAAAAAAGCCAGGCUCACAUGGAAUUUCACAAUGUUAUGCAUUAAUGUCAUAAAGGAUUAGGCAUGGAAGAAAAAAGAAGAUGAAUCAAGUGAGAGAAAUAUUCUUAAUGAGUGAUGGAGAAUGAUAUGAAGAAUCUCGUUAAUACCUAAGCUAAGUGUCUAUUAAGAGGACA